GAAACACCGAUGAAUGGAUCUUAGCCCACUAAUGAGUUCAAAUUACUUUGAUCCUCUCCACUUGGGAUCAUCCCCCUCAAAUGAGUCAUGGGACACAUAGCCUUGAGGAUAACAUUAUAUGCCAAGUGUGAUCCACAAAGGCGUGCUCCAUGGAAUGGUGGAUCAGAGGUGGGUUUACCGACGAGUAUGAUGCUAAGUUGUGUACAAUAUUUUGAAUCUUGCCUUGGCCAAGGUACCGAAUUAAGAACAGCAAAAAAGUAAAAAAGUGAAAAGAAAGUAAAAAAAAGAAAUAGUUAAAAAUAAGUAACAAAUUAAA
RNAcentral lists this long non-coding RNA (316 nucleotides) under Amborella trichopoda. Its description in RNAcentral is "long non-coding RNA (ATRI_LNC003904)". Lineage: Eukaryota; Viridiplantae; Streptophyta; Magnoliopsida; Amborellales; Amborellaceae. The record is from RNAcentral.